Molecule: unclassified non-coding RNA, 331 nt
Filed under: soil metagenome
Description: partial contains 5.8S ribosomal RNA, internal transcribed spacer 2, and large subunit ribosomal RNA
Rfam family: 5.8S ribosomal RNA (bases 1-119)
Source: RNAcentral
GAUGAAGAACGUAGUGAAAUGCGAUAAGUAAUGUGAAUUGCAGAAUUCAGUGAAUCAUCGAAUCUUGAACGCACAUUGCGCCCCUUGGUAUUCCGGGGGGCAUGCCUGUUCGAGCGUCAUUAUCACCCCUCAAGCUCAGCUUGGUGUUGGGGCCUGCCCGUCACAGGGCAGCCCUUAAAAGCAGUGGCGGUGCCAUCUGGCUCUACGCGUAGUAAUACUUCUCGCGACAGAGUCCCGGUGGUGUCCUGCCAGAACCCCCCAUAUUUUUAAUGAUUGACCUCGGAUCAGGUAGGGAUACCCGCUGAACUUAAGCAUAUCAAUAAGCGGAGGA